UGUAUUGCUCUGGGGCAUCUAAGGAUGACAUGAGUGAUGGUCUCCUCAAUGUUCGGACAUGUCUCAUAAUACAGGGUAAUCCGAACCUCUCGCCCUGCUAACAUCCUUUUGGUCGAUAGACAGCCCUACACUACCUUCCAUAUGAAAAGGGUCACCCGCGGGUGUAUCCGCAUCCUCCAGAUCCAACCUCCCUCAAUCUGUCGAUCCGGCUCUCCCCUAAACAGCGCAUAGAGGUCCCUGGCAUGCACCAUGGAUUGUCCCAUUGGCUUUCAUACUAAUCUGUCAAGCUCCUCCUGGGAUGGAAUAGGAAGGGCUAAGAUCCGCUCUCCUAAAUGCUCCCCAAAUACCUUC
RNAcentral lists this long non-coding RNA (351 nucleotides) under Phoenix dactylifera (date palm). Its description in RNAcentral is "long non-coding RNA (PDAC_LNC000697)". Lineage: Eukaryota; Viridiplantae; Streptophyta; Magnoliopsida; Arecales; Arecaceae. The record is from RNAcentral.